UUAGAGUUUGAUCCUGGCUCAGGAUGAACGCUAGCGACAGGCUUAACACAUGCAAGUCGAGGGGCAGCAGGGGAGUAGCAAUACUCCCGCUGGCGACCGGCGCACGGGUGAGUAACACGUAUGCAACCUGCCCUUGUCAGGGGGAUAAGCGGAAGAAAUUCCGUCUAAUACCGCAUAAUGCUGCGGGGAGACAUCUCCCUGCAGCCAAAGAUUUAUCGGACAAGGAUGGGCACGCGGCGCAUUAGCUGGUUGGCGGGGUAACGGCCCACCAAGGCGACGAUGCGUAGGGGUUCUGAGAGGAAGGUCCCCCACACUGGUACUGAGACACGGACCAGACUCCUACGGGAGGCAGCAGUGAGGAAUAUUGGUCAAUGGCCGGGAGGCUGAACCAGCCAAGUCGCGUGAGGGAAGACGGUCCUAUGGAUUGUAAACCUCUUUUGUCAGGGAGCAAAAACUGCCACGCGUGGCAGGAUGAGAGUACCUGAAGAAAAAGCAUCGGCUAACUCCGUGCCAGCAGCCGCGGUAAUACGGAGGAUGCGAGCGUUAUCCGGAUUUAUUGGGUUUAAAGGGUGCGUAGGCGGUCGGAUAAGUUAGAGGUGAAAUCCCGGGGCUCAACUCCGGAAUUGCCUCUGAUACUGUUCGGCUAGAGAGUAGUUGCGGUAGGCGGAAUGUAUGGUGUAGCGGUGAAAUGCUUAGAGAUCAUACAGAACACCGAUUGCGAAGGCAGCUUACCAAGCUACAUCUGACGUUGAGGCACGAAAGCGUGGGGAGCAAACAGGAUUAGAUACCCUGGUAGUCCACGCGGUAAACGAUGAUAAGUCGUUGUCGGCGAUACAAUGUCGGUGACUAAGCGAAAGCGAUAAGUUAUCCACCUGGGGAGUACGUUCGCAAGAAUGAAACUCAAAGGAAUUGACGGGGGCCCGCACAGGCGGAGGAACAUGUGGUUUAAUUCGAUGAUACGCGAGGAACCUUACCCGGGCUUGAAAGUUACUGACGCUUCUGGAAACAGGAGUUCCCUUCGGGGCAGGAAACUAGGUGCUGCAUGGUUGUCGUCAGCUCGUGCCGCGAGGUGUCGGGUUAAGUCCCAUAACGAGCGCAACCCCUACCGUUAGUUGCCAUCAGGUAAAGCUGGGCACUCUGGCGGGACUGCCGGUGUAAGCCGAGAGGAAGGUGGGGAUGACGUCAAAUCAUCAUGCCCCUUAUGGGCUGGGCUACACACGUGCUACAAUGGCGCCAACAGAGUGAGGCAAACCUGCGAGGGGGAGCAAAGCACAAAAAAGGCGUCCCAGUUCGGAUUACAGCCUGCAACCCGGCUGUAUGAAGCUGGAAUCGCUAGUAAUCGCAGAUCAGAAUGCUGCGGUGAAUACGUUCCCGGGUCUUGCACUCACCGCCCGUCA
RNAcentral lists this ribosomal RNA (1397 nucleotides) under uncultured bacterium. RNAcentral describes it as "16S ribosomal RNA". It matches the Rfam family "Bacterial small subunit ribosomal RNA". The record is from RNAcentral.